GAUGAACGCUGGCGGCGUGCCUAAUACAUGCAAGUCGAGCGAACAGAUGAGGAGCUUGCUCCUCUGACGUUAGCGGCGGACGGGUGAGUAACACGUGGAUAACCUACCUAUAAGACUGGGAUAACUUCGGGAAACCGGAGCUAAUACCGUAUAAUAUAUUGAACCGCAUGGUUCAAUAGUGAAAGACGGUUUUGCUGUCACUUAUAGAUGGAUCCGCGCCGCAUUAGCUAGUUGGUAAGGUAACGGCUUACCAAGGCAACGAUGCGUAGCCGACCUGAGAGGGUGAUCGGCCACACUGGAACUGAGACACGGUCCAGACUCCUACGGGAGGCAGCAGUAGGGAAUCUUACGCAAUGGGCGAAAGCCUGACGGAGCAACGCCGCGUGAGUGAUGAAGGUCUUCGGAUCGUAAAACUCUGUUAUUAGGGAAGAACAAAUGUGUAAGUAACUAUGCACGUCUUGACGGUACCUAAUCAGAAAGCCACGGCUAACUACGUG
RNAcentral lists this ribosomal RNA (497 nucleotides) under uncultured bacterium. RNAcentral describes it as "partial 16S ribosomal RNA". It matches the Rfam family "Bacterial small subunit ribosomal RNA", at positions 28 to 507 of the family's 1533-position model. The record is from RNAcentral.